Lycium ferocissimum is the source of this 1098-nucleotide long non-coding RNA. RefSeq lists it as uncharacterized. The transcript is spliced from 5 exons. The record is from RefSeq and is a predicted model, not a curated record. Lineage: Eukaryota; Viridiplantae; Streptophyta; Magnoliopsida; Solanales; Solanaceae.
CAUCCUUCUAAUCAGGCAAAGGUUCAGUGAAUUCUUGAUGGCCAUUAUGCAUUUCCUGAUCUUUUCGAUGUUGUUUUUGACCAGACACAGAAAGGGAAAUAAACGACGACAACUAGGGCUAGUUUCCUCUUCCAAAUUGAUGUGGGAACAUUAUUCCCCUCUUGAAAUCUUGAAUUUUAUUAACCAGUUACUUAGAUGUUGCAAUUGUUGAUCAUUUCCACCCAAAUAUUAUCUCUUUAUGAAUAUGGGGAGCCCACGAGGAUUGCAUGAACAAAGAUUGGUAGCUGUGGCCAUUGAUAAAAAUAAAGGAAGCCAAUAUGCACUUAAUGGGCUAUUGAAAAUGUACUUGAAAAGGGCCAAAAGGUCACGUUAAUCCAUGUUCCUCAAACUACAUCAGCACCACAAUCCCCAACAUCAUGUCACAAUGGUAUAGUAGGAGGCAAUGAUCUAUCAAUCGGACAAGAUUCAAACAACCAAUGUACAGAUCUCUAAUCGUAGUUGAAGGUAACAUUGCAAAGUCUCUCAUUGACCCAUGUUUCACUAUAUAGAGUUCAAAAUUUGAUACUUGGUUGUCCAUCAAAAAAUGGGAUUUCAAGACUUUUCACUAAAAGUGAUGUUGCAAAUAAUGUACUGAAAAGGGCACCAAGCUUUUGCAAUAUUUACAUAGUUUCCAAAGGGAAAAUCAAUUCUGUAAGAAUGGCUUCUCACCCAUUGAUACGGAGAUCCUCAAUUCCUAGCAUACAAAUUCCACAACGCAAUUCCAACUUUGAUGCAGCUAAUUUAAUAAGAAGUGGAGAGCCUACAAGUUCCACUAGACCAAGGUUGUCAGGUUUUAGUCCUACAAGGUUGGUUGAUCAUCUCGACUCCAGAAAUGACUUGCUACUAUCCGAACAGAAAUGUGAAGAAAAUUCGUUGUCCUCGGAUAAAAUUGUAAGCUUCGAACUUCUUCCAGCUCUGUUAAGUGUGAUUAAAAUAUUUUCCUAGAGAGUAAAAUUCUAUAAGAAAAAACUAAAAUUAGAAGUAUCUGACAGUAACAGAUCAUUGGGGGCAAAGAGUUGGUGAUUAUCAUGAAUGAGGAAAACGAAACUAAGGUUUAUA